Molecule: ribosomal RNA, 253 nt
Filed under: uncultured bacterium
Lineage: Bacteria
Description: partial 16S ribosomal RNA
Rfam family: Bacterial small subunit ribosomal RNA
Source: RNAcentral
UACGAAGGGGGCUAGCGUUGUUCGGAUUUACUGGGCGUAAAGCGCACGUAGGCGGAUCUUUAAGUCAGAGGUGAAAUCCCAAGGCUCAACCUUGGAACUGCCUUUGAUACUGGGGAUCUUGAGUCCGGGAGAGGUGAGUGGAACUGCGAGUGUAGAGGUGAAAUUCGUAGAUAUUCGGAAGAACACCAGUGGCGAAGGCGACUCACUGGCCCGAUACUGACGCUGAGGCGCGAAAGCGUGGGGAGCAAACAGG